UACAGAGGCCCCAAGCAUUAUCCGGAAUCACUGGGCGUAAAGGGUGUCAAGGCGGUCAUGUUAGUCGUUCGUAAAAUCCGUGGGCUCAACCUACGGCUCGCGAGCGAAACGGCAUGACUAGAGGUUGGAAGAGGUGCGUGGAACUCACGGUGUAGGGGUGAAAUCCGUUGAUAUCGUGGGGAACACCAAAGGCGAAGGCAGCGCACUGGUCCAAAUCUGACGCUCACACACGAAAGCCAGGGUAGCGAACGGG
RNAcentral lists this ribosomal RNA (253 nucleotides) under uncultured bacterium. RNAcentral's name for it is "partial 16S ribosomal RNA". It matches the Rfam family "Bacterial small subunit ribosomal RNA", at positions 524 to 776 of the family's 1533-position model. The record is from RNAcentral.